RNAcentral lists this ribosomal RNA (443 nucleotides) under uncultured bacterium. RNAcentral describes it as "partial 16S ribosomal RNA". It matches the Rfam family "Bacterial small subunit ribosomal RNA", at positions 338 to 795 of the family's 1533-position model. The record is from RNAcentral.
CCUACGGGUGGCUGCAGUGGGGAAUAUUGGGCAAUGGAGGCAACUCUGACCCAGCAACGCCGCGUGAAUGAUGAAGGUCUUCGGCUUGUAAAGUUCUGUGAUGGGGGAUGAACACAAUGACGGUACCCCAAUAGCACGCCACGGCUAACCACGUGCAAGCAGCCGCGGUAAUACGUAGGGGGCGAGCUUUAUCCGGUAUGACUGGGCGUAGAGGGUGCGGAGGGGGUGUAGUAAGUAUGCAGUGGAAUUCCGGGGCGCAACCGCGGCGCUGCCGCUAAAACUGUUAGGCUAGAGUGUGGGAGGGGUAAGUGGAAUUCCUGGUGUAGCGGUGGAAUGUGUAGAUAUUAGGAGGAACACCAGGGGCGAAGGCGACUUACUGGACCGUAACUGACGCUGAGGCACGAAAGCGUGGGGAGCGAACAGGAUUAGAUACCCUUGUAGUC